Molecule: non-coding RNA, 45 nt
Filed under: Schistosoma mansoni
Lineage: Eukaryota; Metazoa; Platyhelminthes; Trematoda; Strigeidida; Schistosomatidae
Source: RNAcentral
AUUCAACUGACGACCUCCAAAUAGGACGAAACGCGCGUCCUGGAU